GGCGUGGUGCCAGAGUGGUUAAUGGGUAUGACUCGAACGAUCUCCAUCAACUAGAUAUCAUAUGCCUUCGGGCGCGCAGGGUAAGAUACAUCUACUCCAGAUAUAUCGUCGCAUCUACUAAUGCUCAAAAAGUUCGAAUCCUGCCCACGUCG
This is a non-coding RNA of Alternaria alternata, 152 nucleotides long. Lineage: Eukaryota; Fungi; Ascomycota; Dothideomycetes; Pleosporales; Pleosporaceae. The record is from the annotation of a RefSeq genome assembly.